UACGUAGGGUGCGAGCGUUAAUCGGAAUUACUGGGCGUAAAGCGCGCGCAGGCGGUCCUUUAAGUCAGGGGUGAAAGCCCAGAGCUCAACUCUGGAACUGCCUUUGAAACUAGAGGACUUGGGUACGGGAGAGGUGAGUGGAAUUCCGAGUGUAGAGGUGAAAUUCGUAGAUAUUCGGAAGAACACCAGUGGCGAAGGCGGCUCACUGGCCCGUUACCGACGCUCAGGCGCGACAGCGUGGGGAGCAAACAGG
RNAcentral lists this ribosomal RNA (253 nucleotides) under uncultured bacterium. RNAcentral describes it as "partial 16S ribosomal RNA". It matches the Rfam family "Bacterial small subunit ribosomal RNA", at positions 524 to 776 of the family's 1533-position model. The record is from RNAcentral.